AAGCUGUAAUGGUGCUCCCUUCAGCAGAUUGGAAUGAUACAGAGAAGAUAGCAUGGCCCCUGAGCAAAGAUGACACGCAAAUCCGUGAAGCACUCCAUAUUUUU
Small nuclear RNA from Manis pentadactyla (Chinese pangolin), 104 nucleotides. Lineage: Eukaryota; Metazoa; Chordata; Mammalia; Pholidota; Manidae. The record is from RefSeq and is a predicted model, not a curated record.